UGGGGAAUUUUGCACAAUGGGCGCAAGCCUGAUGCAGCGACGCCGCGUGAUGGAUGAAGGCCUUCGGGUUGUAAACCUUUUUCGCUCAUGGUCAAGCCGCAGCUUUGGGUUGUGGUGAGGGUAGUGGGUAAAGAAGCGCCGGCUAACUACGUGCCAGCAGCCGCGGUAAUACGUAGGGCGCGAGCGUUGUCCGGAAUUAUUGGGCGUAAAGGGCUUGUAGGCGGUUGGCCGCGUCUGCCGGGAAAUCCUCUGGCUUAACUGGGGGCGUGCGGUGGGUACGGGUUGAUUUGAGGGCGGGAGGGGGGACUGGAAUUCCUGGUGUAGCGGUGGAAUGCGCAGAUAUCAGGAGGAACACCGGUGGCGAAGGCGGGUCUCUGGGCCGUUACUGACGCUGAGGAGCGAAAGCGGGGGGAGCGAACAGG
This 422-nucleotide ribosomal RNA is filed under the name Verrucomicrobiota bacterium. RNAcentral describes it as "Verrucomicrobia bacterium partial 16S ribosomal RNA". It matches the Rfam family "Bacterial small subunit ribosomal RNA", at positions 355 to 776 of the family's 1533-position model. Lineage: Bacteria; Pseudomonadati; Verrucomicrobiota. The record is from RNAcentral.